RNAcentral lists this ribosomal RNA (588 nucleotides) under uncultured bacterium. RNAcentral describes it as "bacterial SSU rRNA". It matches the Rfam family "Bacterial small subunit ribosomal RNA", at positions 338 to 916 of the family's 1533-position model. The record is from RNAcentral.
CCUACGGGAGGCAGCAGUCGAGAGGCUUCGGCAAUGGGGGAAACCCUGACCGAGCGACGCCGCGUGGAGGAUGAAGGCCUUUGGGUCGUAAACUCCUUUCGUGGGGGAAGAAUGUAUUCGGGGUAAAUAAUCCCGAGUAUUGACGGUACCCCAAGAAGAAGCUCCGGCUAACUCCGUGCCAGCAGCCGCGGUAAUACGGGGGGAGCAAGCGUUGUUCGGAAUCACUGGGCGUAAAGGGCGUCUAGGCGGUUUGGUAAGUGGGAUGUGAAAUCCCCGGGCUCACCCCGGGAGCUGCAUCCCAAACUGCUGAGCUUGAGUACAGGAGAGGGUAGGGGAAUUCCAGGUGUAGCGGUGAAAUGCGUAGAUAUCUGGAGGAACACCGGUGGCGAAGGCGCCUACCUGGCCUGUUACUGACGCUGAAGCGCGAAAGCUAGGGGAGCAAACGGGAUUAGAUACCCCGGUAGUCCUAGCCGUAAACGGUGAUCACUAGGUGUUGGGAGCAUCGACCCUUCCAGUGCCGCAGCUAACGCAUUAAGUGAUCCGCCUGGGGAGUACGGCCGCAAGGUUGAAACUCAAAGGAAUUGACGG